UCGGGAAUUUUGGGCAAUGGGCGAAAGCCUGACCCAGCAACGCCGCGUGAAGGAUGAAGUCUCUCGGGAUGUAAACUUCGUAAGAAUAGGAAGAAUAAAUGACGGUACUAUUUGUAAGGUCCGGCUAACUACGUGCCAGCAGCCGCGGUAAUACGUAGGGACCAAGCGUUGUUCGGAUUUACUGGGCGUAAAGGGCGCGUAGGCGGCGUGGUAAGUCACUUGUGAAAUCUCCGAGCUUAACUCGGAACGGUCAAGUGAUACUGCUGUGCUAGAGUACAGAAGGGGCAAUCGGAAUUCUUGGUGUAGCGGUGAAAUGCGUAGAUAUCAAGAGGAACACCUGAGGUGAAGACGGGUUGCUGGGCUGAUACUGACGCUGAGGCGCGAAAGCUAGGGUAGCAAACGGGAUUAGAUACCCCAGUAGUCCCUGAGCGGGCUGGCAAGGCG
RNAcentral lists this ribosomal RNA (444 nucleotides) under uncultured bacterium. Its description in RNAcentral is "bacterial SSU rRNA". It matches the Rfam family "Bacterial small subunit ribosomal RNA", at positions 355 to 822 of the family's 1533-position model. The record is from RNAcentral.